CCUACGGGGGGCAGCAGUGGGGAAUAUUGCACAAUGGGCGAAAGCCUGAUGCAGCAACGCCGCGUGAAGGAAGACGGUUUUCGGAUUGUAAACUUCUAUCAAUAGGGAAGAAAGAAAUGACGGUACCUAAAUAAGAAGCCCCGGCUAACUACGUGCCAGCAGCCGCGGUAAUACGUAGGGGGCAAGCGUUAUCCGGAUUUACUGGGUGUAAAGGGAGCGUAGACGGUGCAGCAAGUCUGAUGUGAAAGGUCGGGGCCCAACCCCGGGACUGCAUUGGAAACUGUUGAACUGGAGUACAGGAGAGG
This 305-nucleotide ribosomal RNA is filed under the name uncultured bacterium. Its description in RNAcentral is "bacterial SSU rRNA". It matches the Rfam family "Bacterial small subunit ribosomal RNA", at positions 338 to 657 of the family's 1533-position model. The record is from RNAcentral.